GACAGAGGCCUCAAGCGUUAGGCGGAAUCACUGGGCUUAAAGCGUGUGUAGGCGGAUCGUUAAGUGCCUUGUGAAAUCCCACGGCUUAACUGUGGAACGGCUGGGCAUACUGGCGGUCUUGAGCCAUCUAGGGGCGACUGGAACAAACGGUGGAGCGGUGAAAUGCGUAGAUAUCGUUUGGAACGCCAAUGGUGAAAACAGGUCGCUGGGGAUGCGCUGACGCUGAGACACGAAAGCCAGGGGAGCAAACAGG
RNAcentral lists this ribosomal RNA (253 nucleotides) under uncultured bacterium. RNAcentral's name for it is "partial 16S ribosomal RNA". It matches the Rfam family "Bacterial small subunit ribosomal RNA", at positions 524 to 776 of the family's 1533-position model. The record is from RNAcentral.